RNAcentral lists this ribosomal RNA (743 nucleotides) under uncultured bacterium. RNAcentral describes it as "bacterial SSU rRNA". It matches the Rfam family "Bacterial small subunit ribosomal RNA", at positions 94 to 823 of the family's 1533-position model. The record is from RNAcentral.
AGCGGCGGAUGGGUGAGUAACACGUGGGGAACCUGCCCCUAAGUCUGGGAUACCAUUUGGAAACAGGUGCUAAUACCGGAUAAUAAAGCAGAUCGCAUGAUCAGCUUUUGAAAGGCGGCGUAAGCUGUCGCUAAGGGAUGGCCCCGCGGUGCAUUAGCUAGUUGGUAAGGUAACGGCUUACCAAGGCGACGAUGCAUAGCCGAGUUGAGAGACUGAUCGGCCACAUUGGGACUGAGACACGGCCCAAACUCCUACGGGAGGCAGCAGUAGGGAAUCUUCCACAAUGGACGCAAGUCUGAUGGAGCAACGCCGCGUGAGUGAAGAAGGUUUUCGGAUCGUAAAGCUCUGUUGUUGGUGAAGAAGGAUAGAGGUAGUAACUGGCCUUUAUUUGACGGUAAUCAACCAGAAAGUCACGGCUAACUACGUGCCAGCAGCCGCGGUAAUACGUAGGUGGCAAGCGUUGUCCGGAUUUACUGGGCGUAAAGCGAGCGCAGGCGGAAAAAUAAGUCUAAUGUGAAAGCCCUCGGCUUAACCGAGGAACUGCAUCGGAAACUGUUUUUCUUGAGUGCAGAAGAGGAGAGUGGAACUCCAUGUGUAGCGGUGGAAUGCGUAGAUAUAUGGAAGAACACCAGUGGCGAAGGCGGCUCUCUGGUCUGCAACUGACGCUGAGGCUCGAAAGCAUGGGUAGCGAACAGGAUUAGAUACCCUGGUAGUCCAUGCCGUAAACGAUGAGUGCUAAGUGU